RNAcentral lists this ribosomal RNA (477 nucleotides) under uncultured soil bacterium. Its description in RNAcentral is "bacterial SSU rRNA". It matches the Rfam family "Bacterial small subunit ribosomal RNA", at positions 26 to 518 of the family's 1533-position model. The record is from RNAcentral.
AGGACGAACGCUGGCGGCGUGCUUAACACAUGCAAGUCGAGCGGUAAGGCCCUUUCGGGGGUACACGAGCGGCGAACGGGUGAGUAACACGUGAGCAAUCUGCCCUUCACUUCGGGAUAAGCCUCGGAAACGGGGUCUAAUACCGGAUAUGACCGCGCUACGCAUGUGGUGUGGUGGAAAGUUCUGGCGGUGGAGGAUGAGCUCGCGGCCUAUCAGCUUGUUGGUGGGGUAAUGGCCUACCAAGGCUUCGACGGGUAGCCGGCCUGAGAGGGUGACCGGCCACACUGGGACUGAGACACGGCCCAGACUCCUACGGGAGGCAGCAGUGGGGAAUAUUGGACAAUGGGCGAAAGCCUGAUCCAGCAACGCCGCGUGAGGGAUGACGGCCUUCGGGUUGUAAACCUCUUUCAGCGCCGACGAAGCGAGAGUGACGGUAGGCGCAGAAGAAGCACCGGCCAACUACGUGCCAGCAGCCGC